This 219-nucleotide ribosomal RNA is filed under the name uncultured Fusarium. RNAcentral's name for it is "partial 18S ribosomal RNA". It matches the Rfam family "Eukaryotic small subunit ribosomal RNA", at positions 94 to 316 of the family's 1831-position model. The record is from RNAcentral. Lineage: Eukaryota; Fungi; Ascomycota; Sordariomycetes; Hypocreales; Nectriaceae.
UGGCUCAUUAUAUAAGUUAUCGUUUAUUUGAUAGUACCUUACUACUUGGAUAACCGUGGUAAUUCUAGAGCUAAUACAUGCUAAAAAUCCCGACUUCGGAAGGGAUGUAUUUAUUANAUUAAAAACCAAUGCCCUCCGGGGCUCACUGGUGAUUCUUGAUAACUUCUCNAAUANCAUGGGCUUGUGCCNGCGANAGGUCAUUNACANNUNUUCCCCCUA